This 61-nucleotide transfer RNA is filed under the name Ovis aries (sheep). It matches the Rfam family "tRNA", at positions 6 to 65 of the family's 71-position model. Rfam says of the family: Transfer RNA (tRNA) molecules are approximately 80 nucleotides in length. Their secondary structure includes four short double-helical elements and three loops (D, anti-codon, and T loops). Lineage: Eukaryota; Metazoa; Chordata; Mammalia; Artiodactyla; Bovidae. The record is from Rfam by way of RNAcentral.
AGUGGCUUAGAGGUUAAAGCGUCUGCCUCCAAUGCAGGAGACCCAGGUUCGAUCCCUGGUU